GACGAACGCUGGCGGCGUGCUUAACACAUGCAAGUCGAACGGAAAGGCCCUGCUUUUGUGGGGUGCUCGAGUGGCGAACGGGUGAGUAACACGUGAGUAACCUGCCCUUGACUUUGGGAUAACUUCAGGAAACUGGGGCUAAUACCGGAUAGGAGCUCCUGCUGCAUGGUGGGGGUUGGAAAGUUUCGGCGGUUGUGGAUGGACUCGCGGCUUAUCAGCUUGUUGGUGGGGUAGUGGCUUACCAAGGCUUUGACGGGUAGCCGGCCUGAGAGGGUGACCGGCCACAUUGGGACUGCGAUACGGCCCAGACUCCUACGGGAGGCAGCAGUGGGGAAUAUUGCACAAUGGGCGGAAGCCUGAUGCAGCAACGCCGCGUGCGGGAUGACGGCCUUCGGGUUGUAAACCGCUUUCGCCUGUGACGAAGCGUGAGUGACGGUAAUGGGUAAAGAAGCACCGGCUAACUACGUG
This 468-nucleotide ribosomal RNA is filed under the name uncultured bacterium. RNAcentral describes it as "partial 16S ribosomal RNA". It matches the Rfam family "Bacterial small subunit ribosomal RNA", at positions 28 to 507 of the family's 1533-position model. The record is from RNAcentral.